Long non-coding RNA from Rhipicephalus microplus (southern cattle tick), 375 nucleotides. The record is from RefSeq and is a predicted model, not a curated record. Lineage: Eukaryota; Metazoa; Arthropoda; Arachnida; Ixodida; Ixodidae.
GUUUUGGUCUACCUUUGCAGGUGAGCCUCCGCUUUCAGCAACUCACGCCACCCGCCAGGAUAGCGUUAACAGCAAUAGAAGGGCUGCAGGCCAAAACAGACUAUCUACAUAUACAUGACGACGGACGGAUCAUGGUAGAUCAAACAUUGUCUGCAUUGGGGAGUCUGGCACGUACCAGCGAAGUACACAAGAAGUCCGACAUCCUCUAUAUGGCAGUCAGUGCAGGUCUGGUUAAAAUUAGACGUGGGAAAAACCUUGGCGGUACUUUAGGAAUGGCAAAUAAGGGCAAGGCAUGCAGGAAUGGCAAAGCUGCCUUAGGUUUGGACCGGCCUGUUACCUUUUCUGGUGUCCAGACAUCGGCUCAUGAAAUCGCUC